UCUGCCGCUUUUACGAGUGGCUGGUCUUAAAUGUAUUAGCUGGCCUUUGUGAGUCUUGGUUCUACUCGGCGUGAUAAUUAUCUAACGUUGAGGACAGUCUUCGGAUUGGCCAAAGUCUUCAAAGACCGCUUCUAAUCGUCUUUGGACAAUAUAUUUCUACAUCUGACCUCGAAUCAGGCGGGACUACCCGCUGAACUUAA
This 200-nucleotide unclassified non-coding RNA is filed under the name soil metagenome. RNAcentral describes it as "partial contains internal transcribed spacer 2 and large subunit ribosomal RNA". The record is from RNAcentral.